Molecule: ribosomal RNA, 491 nt
Filed under: uncultured archaeon
Lineage: Archaea
Description: bacterial SSU rRNA
Rfam family: Archaeal small subunit ribosomal RNA
Source: RNAcentral
UAAAGGAAUUGGCGGGGGAGCACUACAAGGGGUGGACGUUGCGGCUUAAUUGGAGUCAACGCCGGAAACCUUACCGGGGGCGACGGCAGGAUGAUGGACAGGUUGAAGGCCUUUCCGGACGAGCCGAGAGGAGGUGCAUGGCCGUCGCCGGUGCGUGCCGUGAGGCGUCCUGUUAAUUCAGGCAACGGACGAGACCCGCGCCCCUAGUUGCCAUCGGGCCGAAAGGCGCCGGGCACUCUAGGGGGACUGCCCCCGAAAGGGGGAGGAAGGAGCGGGCUACGGCAGGUCAGUAUGCCCCGAAUCCCCCGGGCCGCACGCGACGUUCAAUGGCGGGGACAGAGGGUUGCCACCCCGAAAGGGGGAGCUAAUCCCUAAACCCCGCCGUGGUUGGGAUCGAGGGUUGCAACUCGCCCUCGUGAACGCGGAAUCCCUAGUAACCGCGUGUUAAAACCGCGCGGCGAAUACGUCCCCGCUCCUUGCACACACCGCCA